GAAAAUCCGUCGACUUUUAAAAUCGUGAGGGUUCAAGUCCCUCUAUCCCCA
This 51-nucleotide transfer RNA is filed under the name Ravenala madagascariensis. RNAcentral describes it as "partial tRNA-Leu". RNAcentral also lists the same sequence under 20 other names. Lineage: Eukaryota; Viridiplantae; Streptophyta; Magnoliopsida; Zingiberales; Strelitziaceae. The record is from RNAcentral.